Molecule: long non-coding RNA, 2082 nt
Organism: Triplophysa rosa
Lineage: Eukaryota; Metazoa; Chordata; Actinopteri; Cypriniformes; Nemacheilidae
Exons: 4
Source: RefSeq, a predicted model, not a curated record
CUAAAUAACGGUAACCACAAACUCAAAAAUAUAACAAACUCUACAAAACCUUAAAGAUAAAUGAACAUUAAACAACAAGUGUUUCUUUUGACUGAAAAAUGCAUAAAAUAACACUUAUUUAAGAAAAUAACUCUCAAAAUGCAAUCAAACGCAAAGCAUGCUGGGAAAUGUAAGUCCUCUGCCCAAUUGUAACUAUUUUAUGGUAACACAACUCCUUUAUGUUGUCCCAAUAUGAAUGGAUUCAGUUAUUAUGACUAAAUAUAAAAAAUCAUGUUGUGACCAAAUUUUCCAAAAGAUGUGUUAAUUUAACUUAAGUAAGUUAAGUAAAUUGGACAAGCAUCAAAAAUCUUUUUUUCAGUGUACGUGCUCACAAAAAGUAACCCGCUGGAUGGAAAAGGAAUUCACAUUACUGUCGUUGAUGAAAACGGAAAACUGAUUGAGGAAUUAAGGGGUGGAUUCCUUAGCUGCACCUUGCUUCCAAUUAUUAAUCAGCAAAUAUCUUCCAAUAAGAACAAUCAUUUAAAUAUGAUAUUCUUCUGUAUACUUCGUUCAAUCUGGAUCAGACUCUUGUCAAAUUCAUCAGCUCAGGCAUUCCAAAAGCUGCCCUGAAAAAAAUAAUUUCAAAAUUGACCAGAAAUAAUGAAAAACAAAUAAAAGAUUGUUGGUAUGCUUUGUGGAGAGAUAAUUGCUUAGCUCAUACAAAACUGUACAGGACAGGAAGCUAUCAGCAGACUCACUGAGGUGUGUAACGCUGCAACAGAGCUCAUGGAAAAAGCGAAACUGUCAGGUGUUCAUGAAACAGCAAAGCUGCUUCUGAGAGUAACUGAGAGCUCAGCACAUUUCUAUCACAUACUGGGAGCCAUAAUGAGAUAUUAGACAAGAAAUUUGUUCCUGAAUUACUGGAGAGCAUCAAUGAGCUUCAGACAGAAAUGACAAAGUAUGACCAAGAUGGACGACACAAUUUAAGUGAUGUAAAACGCCUUUGAACUACAGGUGAACUACAGGAAAUUGCUCAGAAGGUUUUUGAGAAAUUCAUCAAAUCCUGUUGUGGACAUAUGACUUGUUUAAUGACCUGCACAUUUAAGAACGAGUUAAACAUUGCUGCAGGAAACGUGGUGGACAAAGUCAUGCGCAGAAAUAAAACUCAAAGUUUCUUUGAUGACCAGAGAGAAAAACACAACAAUAAAUCUGUCAGAUGAGGACAAAACAAAACUAAAGCAGUAUACAGAAGAUAAAUGCAAAGCAGAUCAGCCCACUAUAGCCUUCAAUGUGUACCUGCUCACAAAAAGUAACCUGCUGGAUGGUAAAGUAAUUCAUUUUUCUGUCAUCGAUGAAAAUGGAAAACAACCGACUGAGGAACAUCACCCGGGAACCAACAAAUCAUAUUAAACGAGUCUAAAAAAGACCAACAUCCAUCACAAGAUGGAUCACAGCUAUACAGCGGCCGUUUUGACAUUGUACAGGAUGAUGGCGAGAUGAUCAGCAUCAACUCAGAUGAUCAGAAUGGUCUCUAUCAGGCUGUAGUACAAGCAACUGGCACGAAGACAAAAGACCCGAAGAAGGAAGCUUUGAUGCUACGUGAGAAAGUGAAAAAUGAGAUCCAGACAAACCUUCAAUCGUACAUGCCGCUACUUAUUCUCCAGAGAGAAUAUGACCUUUCUAACAAAACCCCAAGAAAUACAGCCUAACUGGAGGAAGUAAAAAUGAGACAAACACUGAAUUAUUCCUGAAUUACUGGAGAGCAUCAAUGAAGCUCAUUGACAGAAAUGAAAAAGUAUAACCAAGAUGGACGAGACAAUUUAAAUGAUGUAAAACGCCCUAAAAGAGAACUUCUACAGGUUAUCACUCAGAAGGUUUCUGAGCAAUUCAUCAUGUCACACAGGAACCAACAAAUCAGCAGGCGAUAUAAAACUGAGAUUAACCAAAUCUGCAAAAGACCAACAUCCAUCACAAUACCUUUUUAAAAACAGAGCUGGAUCACAGCUGUACAGCGGCCGUUUUGACAUUGUACAGGAUAAUGGCAGCAUGAUCAGCAUCAACUCAGAUGAUCAGAAUGCUCUCUAUCAGGCUGUAGUACAAGCA